This is a long non-coding RNA of Anneissia japonica, 319 nucleotides long. RefSeq lists it as uncharacterized. Lineage: Eukaryota; Metazoa; Echinodermata; Crinoidea; Comatulida; Comatulidae. The record is from RefSeq and is a predicted model, not a curated record. The transcript is spliced from 3 exons.
AGGUCAGUAUUGUACAAUUGAAAUUGAUGAGUGCCAAUCAAAUCCAUGUCAGAAUGGUGCCACUUGUGUAGAUGAGGUCUAUGGCUACAACUGUCAGUGCAGAAUAGGGUACAUAGGUCCAAAUUGUCAGCUUGAUGUGGAUGAAUGCGCUACUAAUCCUUGUCUAUUUGGAAUAUGUACUGAUUUCAUUGGUUUCUACACGUGCCAGUGCUUUGCUGGCUACCAAGGUUUCAACUGCACAGAUGAUAUUAAUGAAUGUUUAUCAUCCCCAUGCAAUAAUGGAGCAGUCUGCACAGAGUCGGUCGUCAAUAUGUACCAG